Molecule: ribosomal RNA, 2921 nt
Filed under: Staphylococcus aureus
Lineage: Bacteria; Bacillati; Bacillota; Bacilli; Caryophanales; Staphylococcaceae
Description: 23S ribosomal RNA
Rfam family: Bacterial large subunit ribosomal RNA
Source: RNAcentral
UUAAGUUAUUAAGGGCGCACGGUGGAUGCCUUGGCACUAGAAGCCGAUGAAGGACGUUACUAACGACGAUAUGCUUUGGGGAGCUGUAAGUAAGCUUUGAUCCAGAGAUUUCCGAAUGGGGAAACCCAGCAUGAGUUAUGUCAUGUUAUCGAUAUGUGAAUACAUAGCAUAUCAGAAGGCACACCCGGAGAACUGAAACAUCUUAGUACCCGGAGGAAGAGAAAGAAAAUUCGAUUCCCUUAGUAGCGGCGAGCGAAACGGGAAGAGCCCAAACCAACAAGCUUGCUUGUUGGGGUUGUAGGACACUCUAUACGGAGUUACAAAGGACGACAUUAGACGAAUCAUCUGGAAAGAUGAAUCAAAGAAGGUAAUAAUCCUGUAGUCGAAAAUGUUGUCUCUCUUGAGUGGAUCCUGAGUACGACGGAGCACGUGAAAUUCCGUCGGAAUCUGGGAGGACCAUCUCCUAAGGCUAAAUACUCUCUAGUGACCGAUAGUGAACCAGUACCGUGAGGGAAAGGUGAAAAGCACCCCGGAAGGGGAGUGAAAUAGAACCUGAAACCGUGUGCUUACAAGUAGUCAGAGCCCGUUAAUGGGUGAUGGCGUGCCUUUUGUAGAAUGAACCGGCGAGUUACGAUUUGAUGCAAGGUUAAGCAGUAAAUGUGGAGCCGUAGCGAAAGCGAGUCUGAAUAGGGCGUUUAGUAUUUGGUCGUAGACCCGAAACCAGGUGAUCUACCCUUGGUCAGGUUGAAGUUCAGGUAACACUGAAUGGAGGACCGAACCGACUUACGUUGAAAAGUGAGCGGAUGAACUGAGGGUAGCGGAGAAAUUCCAAUCGAACCUGGAGAUAGCUGGUUCUCUCCGAAAUAGCUUUAGGGCUAGCCUCAAGUGAUGAUUAUUGGAGGUAGAGCACUGUUUGGACGAGGGGCCCCUCUCGGGUUACCGAAUUCAGACAAACUCCGAAUGCCAAUUAAUUUAACUUGGGAGUCAGAACAUGGGUGAUAAGGUCCGUGUUCGAAAGGGAAACAGCCCAGACCACCAGCUAAGGUCCCAAAAUAUAUGUUAAGUGGAAAAGGAUGUGGCGUUGCCCAGACAACUAGGAUGUUGGCUUAGAAGCAGCCAUCAUUUAAAGAGUGCGUAAUAGCUCACUAGUCGAGUGACACUGCGCCGAAAAUGUACCGGGGCUAAACAUAUUACCGAAGCUGUGGAUUGUCCUUUGGACAAUGGUAGGAGAGCGUUCUAAGGGCGUUGAAGCAUGAUCGUAAGGACAUGUGGAGCGCUUAGAAGUGAGAAUGCCGGUGUGAGUAGCGAAAGACGGGUGAGAAUCCCGUCCACCGAUUGACUAAGGUUUCCAGAGGAAGGCUCGUCCGCUCUGGGUUAGUCGGGUCCUAAGCUGAGGCCGACAGGCGUAGGCGAUGGAUAACAGGUUGAUAUUCCUGUACCACCUAUAAUCGUUUUAAUCGAUGGGGGGACGCAGUAGGAUAGGCGAAGCGUGCGAUUGGAUUGCACGUCUAAGCAGUAAGGCUGAGUAUUAGGCAAAUCCGGUACUCGUUAAGGCUGAGCUGUGAUGGGGAGAAGACAUUGUGUCUUCGAGUCGUUGAUUUCACACUGCCGAGAAAAGCCUCUAGGUAGAAAAUAGGUGCCCGUACCGCAAACCGACACAGGUAGUCAAGAUGAGAAUUCUAAGGUGAGCGAGCGAACUCUCGUUAAGGAACUCGGCAAAAUGACCCCGUAACUUCGGGAGAAGGGGUGCUCUUUAGGGUUAACGCCCAGAAGAGCCGCAGUGAAUAGGCCCAAGCGACUGUUUAUCAAAAACACAGGUCUCUGCUAAACCGUAAGGUGAUGUAUAGGGGCUGACGCCUGCCCGGUGCUGGAAGGUUAAGAGGAGUGGUUAGCUUCUGCGAAGCUACGAAUCGAAGCCCCAGUAAACGGCGGCCGUAACUAUAACGGUCCUAAGGUAGCGAAAUUCCUUGUCGGGUAAGUUCCGACCCGCACGAAAGGCGUAACGAUUUGGGCACUGUCUCAACGAGAGACUCGGUGAAAUCAUAGUACCUGUGAAGAUGCAGGUUACCCGCGACAGGACGGAAAGACCCCGUGGAGCUUUACUGUAGCCUGAUAUUGAAAUUCGGCACAGCUUGUACAGGAUAGGUAGGAGCCUUUGAAACGUGAGCGCUAGCUUACGUGGAGGCGCUGGUGGGAUACUACCCUAGCUGUGUUGGCUUUCUAACCCGCACCACUUAUCGUGGUGGGAGACAGUGUCAGGCGGGCAGUUUGACUGGGGCGGUCGCCUCCUAAAAGGUAACGGAGGCGCUCAAAGGUUCCCUCAGAAUGGUUGGAAAUCAUUCAUAGAGUGUAAAGGCAUAAGGGAGCUUGACUGCGAGACCUACAAGUCGAGCAGGGUCGAAAGACGGACUUAGUGAUCCGGUGGUUCCGCAUGGAAGGGCCAUCGCUCAACGGAUAAAAGCUACCCCGGGGAUAACAGGCUUAUCUCCCCCAAGAGUUCACAUCGACGGGGAGGUUUGGCACCUCGAUGUCGGCUCAUCGCAUCCUGGGGCUGUAGUCGGUCCCAAGGGUUGGGCUGUUCGCCCAUUAAAGCGGUACGCGAGCUGGGUUCAGAACGUCGUGAGACAGUUCGGUCCCUAUCCGUCGUGGGCGUAGGAAAUUUGAGAGGAGCUGUCCUUAGUACGAGAGGACCGGGAUGGACAUACCUCUGGUGUACCAGUUGUCGUGCCAACGGCAUAGCUGGGUAGCUAUGUGUGGACGGGAUAAGUGCUGAAAGCAUCUAAGCAUGAAGCCCCCCUCAAGAUGAGAUUUCCCAACUUCGGUUAUAAGAUCCCUCAAAGAUGAUGAGGUUAAUAGGUUCGAGGUGGAAGCAUGGUGACAUGUGGAGCUGACGAAUACUAAUCGAUCGAAGACUUAAUCAA